UACGUAGGGUGCGAGCGUUAACCGGAAUUACUGGGCGUAAAGCGUGCGCAGGCGGUGAUGUAAGACAGAUGUGAAAUCCCCGGGCUCAACCUGGGAACUGCAUUUGUGACUGCAUCGCUGGAGUGCGGCAGAGGGGGAUGGAAUUCCGCGUGUAGCAGUGAAAUGCGUAGAUAUGCGGAGGAACACCGAUGGCGAAGGCAAUCCCCUGGGCCUGCACUGACGCUCAUGCACGAAAGCGUGGGGAGCAAACAGG
Molecule: ribosomal RNA, 253 nt
Filed under: uncultured bacterium
Lineage: Bacteria
Description: partial 16S ribosomal RNA
Rfam family: Bacterial small subunit ribosomal RNA
Source: RNAcentral